GAUGAACGCGGCGGCGUGCUUAACACAUGCAAGUCGAACGAAGCUGUUAAAAGGAAGUCUUCGGAUGGAAUUUAAACAGACUUAGUGGCGGACGGGUGAGUAACGCGUGGAUAACCUGCCUUAUACAGGGGGAUAACGGAGAGAAAUUUCCGCUAAGACCGCAUAAGACCACAGCACCGCAUGGUGCAGGGGUAAAAUAUUAAUAGGUAUAAGAUGGAUCCGCGUCCGAUUAGCUGGUUGGUGAGGUAGAGGCUCACCAAGGCGACGAUCGGUAGCCGGCCUGAGAGGGUGAACGGCCACAUUGGGACUGAGACACGGCCCAAACUCCUACGGGAGGCAGCAGUGGGGAAUAUUGGACAAUGGGGGAAACCCUGAUCCAGCGACGCCGCGUGAGUGAAGAAGUAUUUCGGUAUGUAAAGCUCUAUCAGCAGGGAAGAAAAUG
This 442-nucleotide ribosomal RNA is filed under the name Lachnoanaerobaculum saburreum. RNAcentral describes it as "bacterial SSU rRNA". It matches the Rfam family "Bacterial small subunit ribosomal RNA", at positions 28 to 453 of the family's 1533-position model. Lineage: Bacteria; Bacillati; Bacillota; Clostridia; Lachnospirales; Lachnospiraceae. The record is from RNAcentral.